This 254-nucleotide ribosomal RNA is filed under the name uncultured bacterium. RNAcentral describes it as "partial 16S ribosomal RNA". It matches the Rfam family "Bacterial small subunit ribosomal RNA", at positions 524 to 776 of the family's 1533-position model. The record is from RNAcentral.
CACGUAGGGGGCGAGCGUUGUCCGGAUUUAUUGGGCGUAAAGAGCUCGUAGGCGGCUGAGUAAGUCGGGUGUGAAAACUCCAGGCUCAACCUGGAGACGCCACCCGAUACUGCUCUGGCUGGAGUCCGGUAGAGGAGCGUGGAAUUCCCAGUGUAGCGGUGAAAUGCAUAGAUAUUGGGAGGAACACCAGUGGCGAAGGCGGCGCUCUGGGCCGGAACUGACGCUGAGGAGCGAAAGCGUGGGUAGCAAACAGG